ACAACAGUUGGAAACGACUGCUAAUACCGCAUAAGCCCACGACCCGGCAUCGGGUAGAGGGAAAAGGAGCAAUCCGCUUUGAGAUGGCCUCGCGUCCGAUUAGCUAGUUGGUGAGGUAAUGGCCCACCAAGGCGACGAUCGGUAGCCGGACUGAGAGGUUGAACGGCCACAUUGGGACUGAGACACGGCCCAGACUCCUACGGGAGGCAGCAGUGGGGAAUAUUGCACAAUGGGGGAAACCCUGAUGCAGCGACGCCGCGUGGAGGAAGAAGGUCUUCGGAUUGUAAACUCCUGUUGUUGAGGAAGAUAAUGACGGUACUCAACAAGGAAGUGACGGCUAACUACGUGCCAGCAGCCGCGGUAAAACGUAGGUCACAAGCGUUGUCCGGAAUUACUGGGUGUAAAGGGAGCGCAGGCGGGAAGGCAAGUUGGAAGUGAAAUCCAUGGGCUUAACCCAUGAACUGCUUUCAAAACUGUUUUUCUUGAGUAGUGCAGAGGUAGGCGGAAUUCCCGGUGUAGCGGUGGAAUGCGUAGAUAUCGGGAGGAACACCAGUGGCGAAGGCGGCCUACUGGGCACCAACUGACGCUGAGGCUCGAAAGUGUGGGUAGCAAACAGGAUUAGAUACCCUGGUAGUCCACACUGUAAAC
This 648-nucleotide ribosomal RNA is filed under the name uncultured bacterium. RNAcentral's name for it is "bacterial SSU rRNA". It matches the Rfam family "Bacterial small subunit ribosomal RNA", at positions 143 to 807 of the family's 1533-position model. The record is from RNAcentral.